UACAGAGGUCCCAAGCGUUGUUCGGAUUCACUGGGCGUAAAGGGUGCGUAGGUGGUGAGGUAAGUCGGAUGUGAAAGCUCGGAGCUCAACUCCGAAAUGGCAUUGGAAACUACCUUGCUAGAGGAUUGGAGGGGGGACUGGAAUACUUGGUGUAGCAGUGAAAUGCGUAGAUAUCAAGUGGAGCACCAGUGGCGAAGGCGAGGCCCUGGACAAUACCUGACACUGAGGCACGAAAGCUAGGGGAGCAAACAGG
Molecule: ribosomal RNA, 253 nt
Filed under: uncultured bacterium
Lineage: Bacteria
Description: partial 16S ribosomal RNA
Rfam family: Bacterial small subunit ribosomal RNA
Source: RNAcentral